This 71-nucleotide transfer RNA is filed under the name Ovis aries (sheep). It matches the Rfam family "tRNA". From Rfam's summary of the family: Transfer RNA (tRNA) molecules are approximately 80 nucleotides in length. Their secondary structure includes four short double-helical elements and three loops (D, anti-codon, and T loops). The record is from Rfam by way of RNAcentral. Lineage: Eukaryota; Metazoa; Chordata; Mammalia; Artiodactyla; Bovidae.
UCUUAGUGGCUCAGACGGUAAAGCAUCUGUCUGCAGUGCAGGAGACCCAGGUUCGAUCCCUGGGUUGGGAA